Molecule: ribosomal RNA, 497 nt
Filed under: uncultured bacterium
Lineage: Bacteria
Description: partial 16S ribosomal RNA
Rfam family: Bacterial small subunit ribosomal RNA
Source: RNAcentral
GAUGAACGCUGGCGGCGUGCCUAAUACAUGCAAGUCGAGCGAACAGACGAGGAGCUUGCUCCUCUGACGUUAGCGGCGGACGGGUGAGUAACAAGUGGAUAACCCACCUAUAAGACUGGGAUAACUUCGGGAAACCGGAGCUAAUACCGGAUAAUAUAUUGAACCGCAUGGUUCAAUAGUGAAAGACGGUUUUGCUGUCACUUAUAGAUGGAUCCGCGCGGCAUUAGCUAGUUGGUAAGGUAACGGCUUACCAAGGCAACGAUGCGUAGCCGACCUGAGAGGGUGAUCGGCCACACUGGAACUGAGACACGGUCCAGGCUCCUACGGGAGGCAGCAGUAGGUAAUCUUCCGCAAUGGGCGAAAGCCUGACAGAACAACGCCGAGUGAGUGAUGAAGGUCUUCGGAUCGUAAAGCUCUGUUAUUAGGGAAGAACAAAUGUGUAAGUAACUAUGCACGUCUUGACGGUACCUAAUCAAAAAGCCACGGCUAACUACGUG